AUUUUUCUUCUAGAAAACAAGGUGAAUAGUGAAGUCCACGAUAAAUUGAAGGGAGUUGGAAAGAGAUGGUAUCAAUUUAUCAUAUCGUUCUCAUAUUGGUGUAAUGUGCGAGUAGAAAACGUGGAGAGACGGCCAAAGUGUGGGACCAUUUCAGCUGUCGGUUGCAAAUCUGUCUGGAUCUCUCUCUUCUUUAAUCUCUCCUCUCUCUCCUCUGUUUUCUUUUUCUUUUCUUUUUUAAAGUAAAAUAUUGCAUUUACUUGAAAGUAGAGCAAUAUUUUCAAGUAAACAACAGUUAUAACUCAAGCCAACCAGUUAUGAUCAGAACAAAUUCAACAAUGAUCAUUUUAAAAAUUCACCUAAUUUUCAUAGCAGGUGAUUUCAUAAUUACAAACACUUAAUCUCAACACCAAAAUAAUUAACAAAAAUCAUAAAAUAAAUCUUAAAACCCUUACACUAACAUAAUUCAUCAAUUUUUCUUACUAAACAAGACGAUGUAUACACUUACUUCACUAAUUUUAUAUCUAAUUAAUCUUAAAUUAUUGUUAAAUUAGACAAAAUCAACAAAAACCCUAACUCGAACCCUAAAACACUUAUGCUAGAAAAUUCACAAAUUAGCCAAGUAAAAUAGCAAAUUAAUAGAAAGGAGGGUGAAUAUACUUUAAAUUGGUUAAACGGGCUCUUAUGGGCGGUGGCGGUGGCGGUGAAAAAAGACUAGUGGUUUAUUGAGGGUGGAUGUCUAGAGAGAGAACCAACAACUAAAAAGAAGAGAAAAGCGAGAUCUAUUUCGGUGAAGGGAGAGUGAUUGUAUUUUUAUGAUGGAGAGAGAGAUUAGUUGGUCUGAGUUGAGAGCAGUGUUGGGAGGAGGGAGAAACAGGGGAAGAAAGAAGUAAGGGGAGAGGAAGAUA
RNAcentral lists this long non-coding RNA (905 nucleotides) under Populus trichocarpa (black cottonwood). RNAcentral's name for it is "long non-coding RNA (PTRI_LNC001324)". Lineage: Eukaryota; Viridiplantae; Streptophyta; Magnoliopsida; Malpighiales; Salicaceae. The record is from RNAcentral.